This 465-nucleotide ribosomal RNA is filed under the name Vreelandella stevensii. RNAcentral's name for it is "partial 16S ribosomal RNA". It matches the Rfam family "Bacterial small subunit ribosomal RNA", at positions 338 to 795 of the family's 1533-position model. Lineage: Bacteria; Pseudomonadati; Pseudomonadota; Gammaproteobacteria; Oceanospirillales; Halomonadaceae. The record is from RNAcentral.
CCUACGUGUAGCAGCAGUGGGGAAUAUUGGACAAUGGGCGAAAGCCUGAUCCAGCCAUGCCGCGUGUGUGAAGAAGGCCUUCGGGUUGUAAAGCACUUUCAGUGGGGAAGAAAGCCUUGGGGCUAAUACCCUCGAGGAAGGACAUCACCCACAGAAGAAGCACCGGCUAACUCCGUGCCAGCAGCCGCGGUAAUACGGAGGGUGCGAGCGUUAAUCGGAAUUACUGGGCGUAAAGCGCGCGUAGGCGGUCUGAUAAGCCGGUUGUGAAAGCCCCGGGCUCAACCUGGGAACGGCAUCCGGAACUGUCAGGCUAGAGUGCAGGAGAGGAAGGUAGAAUUCCCGGUGUAGCGGUGAAAUGCGUAGAGAUCGGGAGGAAUACCAGUGGCGAAGGCGGCCUUCUGGACUGACACUGACGCUGAGGUGCGAAAGCGUGGGUAGCAAACAGGAUUAGAUACCCGUGUAGUC